UACGAGUGCCUCAAGCGUUAUCCGGAAUCAUUGGGCGUAAAGGUUGUGUAGGUGGUUGUAUUAGUCUUCUGUUAAAUUCUUCGGCUUAACCGGGGGCAUGCAGGGGAAACGGUACAACUCGAGGAUGCGAGGGGUCUGCGGAACUCAUAGUGUAGCGGUGAAAUGCGUUGAUAUUAUGGGGAACACCCGUGACUAAGGCGGCUCUCUAGUACGGUACUGACGCUGAGACGCGAAAGCGUGGGGAGCGAACAGG
Molecule: ribosomal RNA, 253 nt
Filed under: uncultured bacterium
Lineage: Bacteria
Description: partial 16S ribosomal RNA
Rfam family: Bacterial small subunit ribosomal RNA
Source: RNAcentral